RNAcentral lists this transfer RNA (77 nucleotides) under Desulfovibrio sp. Its description in RNAcentral is "tRNA-Arg". It matches the Rfam family "tRNA". From Rfam's summary of the family: Transfer RNA (tRNA) molecules are approximately 80 nucleotides in length. Their secondary structure includes four short double-helical elements and three loops (D, anti-codon, and T loops). Lineage: Bacteria; Pseudomonadati; Thermodesulfobacteriota; Desulfovibrionia; Desulfovibrionales; Desulfovibrionaceae. The record is from RNAcentral. RNAcentral also lists the same sequence under 4 other names.
GGGCAAUUAGCUCAGUUGGAUAGAGUGUCAGCCUCCGGAGCUGAAGGCCACAGGUUCGAAUCCUGUAUUGCCCGCCA